Long non-coding RNA from Cairina moschata (Muscovy duck), 1327 nucleotides. The record is from Ensembl. NCBI's taxonomy places the organism in Eukaryota, Metazoa, Chordata, Aves, Anseriformes, Anatidae.
CAUUCAUGUAAUGUAUAUUAACUUGAAAUGAUGGAUGCAAUUUAAACUAUGUAAAGUUGUAAUUUCUGACUGAUUAGGAAGAAAAACUUUUAGAAGAAAGCUGAACUUCAGAAGCCUGCAUCUCAUUUAUAUUUAACAGGUCUAUUGAAUCCCUCUUUCUCAGCAGAAUCAUAGUGGUGCAUCAGAAAUUUUUAAGAGUUGCUUGUUGACUUGGAGGAGAAACCCAGAAGGAAUAUGUUGGAUACUUCAGACCUUUUACCUGGAAUUUCCAGGGCUGUGCCUGAGCAGCAGAGUUGCUCCUGGAGCAUUGGUCACCUGCUGGCACACAUCUUUGUCCCUCACUAGGGACAUCAGGGAGAGGAGGACCCAGACAACUGCCCAUCUUUCUCUCAGGUACGCUUUACCACUAACCAUCUUCACCCCUUUGGUAGCAUAUGGAGAACACCACAGAAACAGUAUGUUCUUCAUCACUUCUCUGCAAAGACUACAGAUGCUACGGUGGAUGGUGUAACUAAAGGUAUUUAAAUCUUAUUCGUGAUUCCUUGAGGCAGAGUGGUAGAAGUGUGAACAUUUCCAGGACGUACCUAGUCUUGUCAUGUAAAAAAAAAAUUAAAAAAUCUAUGCCCAGAUCAUUUAUCCAGCAACAACUGGCAGUAGAGUUCUUUGCAUAGGAUUGAAGUCCCUAUUACAUGGGACAGUGCACAGUUUUGUAAACAAAACAGGAAAGGUGCCAAGGUUUGAAAUGUAUAUUCCCACUCUGCCUGAUUAAUUUGGAUAGAGUGUAUUAAUUGGGAUGGGAAAAGUGUGGGUUUCCUGGGGAGGAAAAAAAAAAAAAAAAAAAAGCAGUGAUUCAUAAGAGUAAGUAAUUUUAACUUGCUUGUCUGUUGAUGUCUGAUUGCUUCCUAGGCUUUCUCGCUUGCUGGUGUCAUCAUUUUGUCCAAAAUCUUGGAAAGGUUUGAAUUUUGAUUUAGGGCCUAGUCCAACAUAGAUUGCAGUAUACUGAAAGAUUUCUGCUGACUUCAUUGUGCUUUGGAUCAAGCCCCUUUGAUGGCAUUUUGAACAUUUGCUUUCAAAUCUUUCUUCAUUUGGCAUCUUCAAUUUAUGUUCCUGAUAAAAUUCUCAUGGGUUACAAUAGCUUGAAGAGGAAUAUAUGCAUUUCUGUUGUGUUCCAGUGGCUUCAGUAUAUCGCAAGGGCAUUGUUAAGAAUAGCCACAAUAUAUCUCAGUUGAAAUCAUUAUUAAGUGUGUGCUUAAGGGACUGAUACAAUACCACUAAAAUCAGAAUUAAAAAACUACUUUGAUUUCACUCUUGCCAGACAGAAUUUUUC